Molecule: ribosomal RNA, 515 nt
Filed under: uncultured Bacteroidota bacterium
Lineage: Bacteria; Pseudomonadati; Bacteroidota
Description: bacterial SSU rRNA
Rfam family: Bacterial small subunit ribosomal RNA
Source: RNAcentral
AGAGUUUUGAUCCUGGCGUCAGGAUGAACGCUAGCGGCAGGCUUAACACAUGCAAGUCGGGCGGGCGAGCGGGGUGGGAGGCUUGCUCCCACUGCCGGCGAGCGGCGCACGGGUGAGUAACACGUAUGCAACCCUGCCCCUGUCAGGGGGACAACCGCCGAAAGGCGGGCUAAGCCCGCGUAUAUCGCCCCGGGGCAUCCCGGGGGAGGAAAGGAGCGAUCCGGACAGGGAUGGGCAUGCGGCGCAUUAGCUGGUCGGCGGGGUAACGGCCCACCGAGGCGACGAUGCGUAGGGGUUCUGAGAGGAAGGCCCCCCACACUGGUACUGAGACACGGACCAGACUCCUACGGGAGGCAGCAGUGAGGAAUAUUGGUCAAUGGGCGGGAGCCUGAACCAGCCAAGCCGCGUGAGGGAAGAAGGUACAGCGUAUCGUAAACCUCUUUUGUCAGGGAACAAAGGCGGGGACUAGUCCCCGGAUGAGGGUACCUGAAGAAAAAGCAUCGGCUAACUCCGUG